RNAcentral lists this ribosomal RNA (506 nucleotides) under uncultured bacterium. RNAcentral describes it as "partial 16S ribosomal RNA". It matches the Rfam family "Bacterial small subunit ribosomal RNA", at positions 29 to 523 of the family's 1533-position model. The record is from RNAcentral.
AGUGAACGCUGGCGGUAGGCCUAACACAUGCAAGUCGAACGGCAGCACAGGAGAGCUUGCUCUCUGGGUGGCGAGUGGCGGACGGGUGAGGAAUACAUCGGAAUCUACUCUGUCGUGGGGGAUAACGUAGGGAAACUUACGCUAAUACCGCAUACGACCUACGGGUGAAAUCAGGGGACCUUCGGGCCUUGCGCGAUUGAAUGAGCCGAGGUCGGAUUAGCUAGUUGGCGGGGUAAAGGCCCACCAAGGCGACGAUCCGUAGCUGGUCUGAGAGGAUGAUCAGCCACACUGGAACUGAGACACGGUCCAGACUCCUACGGGAGGCAGCAGUGGGGAAUAUUGGACAAUGGGCGCAAGCCUGAUCCAGCCAUGCCGCGUGGGUGAAGAAGGCCUUCGGGUUGUAAAGCCCUUUUGUUGGGAAAGAAAUCCAGCUGGCUAAUACCCGGUUGGGAUGACGGUACCCAAAGAAUAAGCACCGGCUAACUUCGUGCCAGCCGCCGCCGUAA